This 1140-nucleotide ribosomal RNA is filed under the name Triticum aestivum (bread wheat). RNAcentral's name for it is "partial small subunit ribosomal RNA". Lineage: Eukaryota; Viridiplantae; Streptophyta; Magnoliopsida; Poales; Poaceae. The record is from RNAcentral.
AUGGCGGCUCUCUCCCUGUCCCUCGCCCCUCCCACCGCCGUGCUCCCCUGCUUGCCCCGCAGGCCCGCCGCCUCCCUCCUCAGGCCGCGGGUCCCCUCCCGUGCUACCCUCGCCGUCUGCCUUGGCGCGAAGCCCAAGGUGCCCCUCCCCAUCGCCUCGCCGUCCCCACUCGGGGACGACCCCGCUAAGUGGGACCCCGCCGAGUGCGACGCCCUCCUCCGCGGCGGCGAGCAGGUCGCCUCCGUGCUCCAGGAGAUGCUCACGCUGAUGGAAGACAUGGAGAUGGAUGGUGCAUUUGCACCGGUGGCCGUGGAGCUGGUGGCUCAGGGAGUCAUUGGGAAUAGGGUUGAUGAGAUGGAGUCUGGCUUUCUAAUGGCACUCGAUUACAUGAUACAGCUCGCACAGAAGGAUGGUGAUGAUGAGCGUAACUCUCUUCUUGAAGUAGUCAAGCAGACGGUGCUAGACCAUCUGACAAAAAAAUGCCCUCCGCAUGUUCAAGUAGUUGGACUUCUUUGCCAGACUGAAAAGAAAGAGAGCAGACAUGAACUACUACGUCGUGUAGCUGCCGGUGGUGGUGUUUUUGAAAAUGAUAAAGGCCUGAAGUGUCAAAUUCCAGGAGCAAAUCUCAAUGACAUUGCAAAUCAGGCGGAUGAUCUGCUGGAGUCAAUGGAAACCAGACCCACAAUUCCUGAUCGAAAACUUCUGGCCAGACUAGUUAUAGUAAGAGAGGAAGCUCGAAAUAUGAUGGGAGGUGGCCUUUUAGAUGAAAGAAAUGAUCGUGGUCUCAAUACCCUUCCUCAAGCAGAGGUGAAUUUCUUGAGCAAACUGGUUGCUCUCAAACCAGGGAAAUCAGUGGAGAAGAUGAUCAGUGAUGUUAUGCAUGGCAAAGAGGAAGGUGCCGAUAGCACUGAAAGCACAAAUGCUGGACCAAAUUCUGACCUGGAACCUUCAACUGGGACAUCUGGAAGGGAAAAUGCAACGGGCCGCAAGCCACAGCCUGUCCGCCCUGGAAUGUUCCUCGAGACAGUUUCUAAGGUCUUAGGCGGCAUAUAUGCAAAGAACACAUCUGGCAUUACAGCACAACAUCUAGAAUGGGUACAUCAAACAACACUGAAAGUUCUUCAGGAAAUGGCCUUCUAG